RNAcentral lists this ribosomal RNA (1143 nucleotides) under uncultured Clostridia bacterium. RNAcentral describes it as "bacterial SSU rRNA". It matches the Rfam family "Bacterial small subunit ribosomal RNA", at positions 8 to 1172 of the family's 1533-position model. The record is from RNAcentral. Lineage: Bacteria; Bacillati; Bacillota; Clostridia.
GAGAGUUUGAUCCUGGCUCAGGACGAACGCUGGCGGCGCGCCUAACACAUGCAAGUCGAACGAGCGAGAGAGAGCUUGCUUUCUCGAGCGAGUGGCGAACGGGUGAGUAACGCGUGAGGAACCUGCCUCAAAGAGGGGGACAACAGUUGGAAACGACUGCUAAUACCGCAUAAGCCCACGGCUCGGCAUCGAGCAGAGGGAAAAGGAGCAAUCCGCUUUGAGAUGGCCUCGCGUCCGAUUAGCUAGUUGGUGAGGUAACGGCCCACCAAGGCAACGAUCGGUAGCCGGACUGAGAGGUUGAACGGCCACAUUGGGACUGAGACACGGCCCAGACUCCUACGGGAGGCAGCAGUGGGGAAUAUUGCACAAUGGGGGAAACCCUGAUGCAGCGACGCCGCGUGGAGGAAGAAGGUCUUCGGAUUGUAAACUCCUGUUGUUGGGGAAGAUAAUGACGGUACCCAACAAGGAAGUGACGGCUAACUACGUGCCAGCAGCCGCGGUAAAACGUAGGUCACAAGCGUUGUCCGGAAUUACUGGGUGUAAAGGGAGCGCAGGCGGGAAGACAAGUUGGAAGUGAAAUCUAUGGGCUCAACCCAUAAACUGCUUUCAAAACUGUUUUUCUUGAGUAGUGCAGAGGUAGGCGGAAUUCCCGGUGUAGCGGUGGAAUGCGUAGAUAUCGGGAGGAACACCAGUGGCGAAGGCGGCCUACUGGGCACCAACUGACGCUGAGGCUCGAAAGUGUGGGUAGCAAACAGGAUUAGAUACCCUGGUAGUCCACACCGUAAACGAUGAUUACUAGGUGUUGGAGGAUUGACCCCUUCAGUGCCGCAGUUAACACAAUAAGUAAUCCACCUGGGGAGUACGACCGCAAGGUUGAAACUCAAAGGAAUUGACGGGGGCCCGCACAAGCAGUGGAGUAUGUGGUUUAAUUCGACGCAACGCGAAGAACCUUACCAAGUCUUGACAUCCCUUGACAGGCAUAGAAAUAUGUUUUCUCUUCGGAGCAAGGAGACAGGUGGUGCAUGGUUGUCGUCAGCUCGUGUCGUGAGAUGUUGGGUUAAGUCCCGCAACGAGCGCAACCCUUAUGGUCAGUUACUACGCAAGAGGACUCUGGCCAGACUGCCGUUGACAAAACGGAGGAAG